This 66-nucleotide transfer RNA is filed under the name Thalassina squamifera. RNAcentral describes it as "tRNA-Tyr". It matches the Rfam family "tRNA". From Rfam's summary of the family: Transfer RNA (tRNA) molecules are approximately 80 nucleotides in length. Their secondary structure includes four short double-helical elements and three loops (D, anti-codon, and T loops). The record is from RNAcentral. Lineage: Eukaryota; Metazoa; Arthropoda; Malacostraca; Decapoda; Thalassinidae. RNAcentral also lists the same sequence under 1 other name.
AAUAAGGUGGCUGAGUUGUAGGCAAUAGAUUGUAAAUCUAAUUACGAGUAUUAAUCUCUCUUAUUA